This 72-nucleotide transfer RNA is filed under the name Camelus bactrianus (Bactrian camel). It matches the Rfam family "tRNA". From Rfam's summary of the family: Transfer RNA (tRNA) molecules are approximately 80 nucleotides in length. The record is from Rfam by way of RNAcentral. Lineage: Eukaryota; Metazoa; Chordata; Mammalia; Artiodactyla; Camelidae. RNAcentral also lists the same sequence under 1 other name.
GAAGGUAUGGCUCAGUAGUAGAGCUCAUGCUUACCAUGCAUGAGGUCCUGGGUUCAAUCCUCAGUACCUUCA